This 448-nucleotide ribosomal RNA is filed under the name uncultured Pelotomaculum sp. RNAcentral describes it as "bacterial SSU rRNA". It matches the Rfam family "Bacterial small subunit ribosomal RNA", at positions 936 to 1382 of the family's 1533-position model. Lineage: Bacteria; Bacillati; Bacillota; Clostridia; Eubacteriales; Desulfotomaculaceae. The record is from RNAcentral.
AGCAUGUGGUUUAAUUCGACGCAACGCGAAGAACUUACCAGGUUUGACAUCCCUGACGGCUGUGGAAACACAGAAUUCUAUUUUCGGAUAGACAGGGAGACAGGUGGGUGCAUGGUUGUCGUCAGCUCGUGUCGUGAGAUGUUGGGUUAAGUCCCGCAACGAGCGCAACCCCUACGUUUAGUUGCUAACGGGUGGAGCCGAGCACUCUGGACGAACUGCCGUUGACAAAACGGAGGAAGGCGGGGAUGCGUCAAAUCAUCAUGCCCUUUAUGUCCUGGGCUACACACGUGCUACAAUGGCCUGUACAAAGGGCAGCAAAGGGGCGACCCGGAGCAAAUCCCAAAAAACAGGUCUCAGUUCGGAUUGCAGGCUGCAACUCGCCUGCAUGAAGGCGGAAUCGCUAGUAAUCGCAGGUCAGCAUACUGCGGUGAAUACGUUCCCGGGCCUU